UACAGAGGUCUCAAGCGUUGUUCGGAUUCAUUGGGCGUAAAGGGUGUGUAGGUGGCGCGCUAAGUCGGGUGUGAAAUUUCGGAGCUUAACUCCGAAACUGCAUUCGAUACUGGCGUGCUUGAGGACUGGAGAGGAGACUGGAAUUCAUGGUGUAGCAGUGAAAUGCGUAGAGAUCAUGAGGAAGACCAGUGGCGAAGGCGGGUCUCUGGACGGUGACUGACGCUGAGACGCGAAAGCGUGGGGAGCAAACAGG
RNAcentral lists this ribosomal RNA (253 nucleotides) under uncultured bacterium. Its description in RNAcentral is "partial 16S ribosomal RNA". It matches the Rfam family "Bacterial small subunit ribosomal RNA", at positions 524 to 776 of the family's 1533-position model. The record is from RNAcentral.